Molecule: ribosomal RNA, 709 nt
Filed under: uncultured spirochete
Lineage: Bacteria; Pseudomonadati; Spirochaetota; Spirochaetia; Spirochaetales
Description: bacterial SSU rRNA
Rfam family: Bacterial small subunit ribosomal RNA
Source: RNAcentral
AAGUCGAGCGGCAGGGGGCAGCGAUGUUCCCGAGAGCGGCGGACUGGUGAGUAACGCGUGGGUGACCUGCCNUCUGGAUGGGGAUAGCCGUUAGAAAUAGCGGGUAAUACCGAAUAUGGUCGGGAGACCGUGGUUUUCCGAAGAAAGGAGCUCAGGCUCCGCCAGGGGAUGGGCCCGCGUCCCAUUAGCUAGUUGGUGAGGUAAGAGCCCACCAAGGCGAAGAUGGGUAGCCGGCCUGAGAGGGUGAACGGCCACACUGGGACUGAGAUACGGCCCAGACUCCUACGGGAGGCAGCAGCUAAGAAUAUUCCGCAAUGGACGGAAGUCUGACGGAGCGACGCCGCGUGGAUGAAGAAGGCCGAAAGGUUGUAAAGUCCUUUUGUUGCUGAAGAAUAAGGCGGGGAGGGAAUGCCCUGUCGAUGACGUUAGGCAAUGAAUAAGCCCCGGCUAAUUACGUGCCAGCAGCCGCGGUAACACGUAAGGGGCGAGCGUUGUUCGGAAUUAUUGGGCGUAAAGGGCGCGUAGGCGGUUACGCAAGCCCGGCGUGAAAUCUCCCGGCUUAACCGGGAGUGUGCGUUGGGAACUGUGUGACUGGAGUCAUGGAGGGGGAGUUGGAAUUCCUGGUGUAGGGGUGAAAUCUGUAGAUAUCAGGAAGAACACCGGUGGCGAAGGCGAACUUCUAGCNGAUGACUGACGCUGAGGCGCGAAA